GCCGGGAUGGUCUAGUGGUUAUGACGUCUGCCUUACACGCUAAGAUCGCGAUUUCAAUCCUCGCUCCUGGUA
Non-coding RNA from Perkinsus marinus ATCC 50983, 72 nucleotides. Lineage: Eukaryota; Perkinsozoa; Perkinsida; Perkinsidae. The record is from Rfam.